This is a long non-coding RNA of Thamnophis elegans (Western terrestrial garter snake), 325 nucleotides long. RefSeq lists it as uncharacterized. The record is from RefSeq and is a predicted model, not a curated record. The transcript is spliced from 3 exons. NCBI's taxonomy places the organism in Eukaryota, Metazoa, Chordata, Lepidosauria, Squamata, Natricidae.
AGGAAAGAAGCGAGUCCGGUGUAGAAAUUAGUCGUUUCUCCUCAGCACAGAUGCCCAAAAAGCAACCCUGUAAAUAUUCUUGAACUUCCGAAUUGAUUCUCUUAAGUAGGAGGAACUGAGAUUUUUGUCUUUUCCUCAAAGAUUGAAGGAGUGGAAGAAGUGACUGACCUCUGUCAACUAUUCUGUGAAAGUGCUAUACCUCAUUAUCAACCUAUUUCUACAUGUACAUAAUCCUGUUCUGAUCCCCUCGUCCAUCCAGUAACGAAUGCCGAGACAAGCUUAGCUGGAAUGCCACAACUCUUUAUUAGUAGGGAACAUAAAUCUU